UGGCUCAGUUAGUGGAGCACAUGACUCUUGAUCUUGGGGUUGUGAGUUCAAGUCCCAC
RNAcentral lists this transfer RNA (58 nucleotides) under Mustela putorius furo (domestic ferret). It matches the Rfam family "tRNA", at positions 8 to 63 of the family's 71-position model. Rfam says of the family: Transfer RNA (tRNA) molecules are approximately 80 nucleotides in length. Their secondary structure includes four short double-helical elements and three loops (D, anti-codon, and T loops). Lineage: Eukaryota; Metazoa; Chordata; Mammalia; Carnivora; Mustelidae. The record is from Rfam by way of RNAcentral.